RNAcentral lists this ribosomal RNA (253 nucleotides) under uncultured bacterium. Its description in RNAcentral is "partial 16S ribosomal RNA". It matches the Rfam family "Bacterial small subunit ribosomal RNA", at positions 524 to 776 of the family's 1533-position model. The record is from RNAcentral.
UACGUAGGGUGCGAGCGUUGUCCGGAAUUAUUGGGCGUAAAGGGCUCGUAGGCGGUUUGUCGCGUCGGGAGUGAAAACACCGGGCUUAACUCGGUGCUUGCUUUCGAUACGGGCAGACUAGAGGCAUGCAGGGGAGAACGGAAUUCCUGGUGUAACGGUGAAAUGCGCAGAUAUCAGGAGGAACACCGGUGGCGAAGGCGGUUCUCUGGGCAUGUCCUGACGCUGAGGAGCGAAAGUGUGGGGAGCGAACAGG